AACUCGCGAGAGCGCGCCAAUCUCAAAACGACCAUCCUCAGUUCGGAUUGGAGUCUGCAACUCGACUCCAUGAAGUUGGAAUCGCUAGUAAUCGCGGAUCAGCAUGCCGCGGUGAAUACGUUCCCGGGCCUU
This 132-nucleotide ribosomal RNA is filed under the name uncultured Smithella sp. Its description in RNAcentral is "partial 16S ribosomal RNA". It matches the Rfam family "Bacterial small subunit ribosomal RNA", at positions 1252 to 1382 of the family's 1533-position model. Lineage: Bacteria; Pseudomonadati; Thermodesulfobacteriota; Syntrophia; Syntrophales; Smithellaceae. The record is from RNAcentral.